RNAcentral lists this long non-coding RNA (832 nucleotides) under Marmota monax (woodchuck). Lineage: Eukaryota; Metazoa; Chordata; Mammalia; Rodentia; Sciuridae. The record is from RNAcentral.
CAUGAUUCUAUACUUAGAGGAUUGUGGGGAGCCACUUUGAAUGAUUCGCGUCUUCCCUCUUGGAGUGGAGAGGCUUUGACUAUCACAACAUCUUGUAGUGACUUGGACAUUGCCUGGGUUCCAGAAGUUUGAGGAUGUGUCUUGGUGUCACUCUACAGCCCUUGGGUUAAUUACACUCACAUGUCCCUUGUAACUCCGCCCCUUCUUAUUUUUUUGGAUGGAACUUUAUCUAAGAAUGAUGGUGCUCCUAAUAAAAGCCCACUUCCAAACCAAUGUGCUCUCGUGCUCUCUCGCUCUCCCUCUCUCCCUCUCUCCCUCUCUCUCCCUCUCUCUCUCUCCCCCUGUCUCUCGCCAGCCUCUCAUGACUAUCCCUUGCUCUCCCAUUUAGGGACCUUGAGGCCUAGAGCAGACGAGCCGUUCUGAAGUUUGUUUAAAGGUAAAGUGAGUGUGUUUUAUUUGGUGUCCUUAGAAAUUCACAUGAGUGACCUUAAGUUCACCUGCCCCCGUGGGUCAGGAGCAGCAGAGGAUCCACAAAAUUCUACCAGAAAACUUCUAGAACUAAUAAAUGAAUUCAGCAAUGUAGUAGGAUAUAAAGUCAACACUCAUAAAUCAAAUUUCUGUACACAGUGACAAAUCCUUUGAAAGAGAAAUUAGGAAAACUACCUCAUUUACAAUAGCCUCAAAAAAUAAUAAUAGGGGCUGGGGAUGUGGCUCAAGCGGUAGGGCGCUCGCCUGGCAUGCGUGCUAGGCAUGCGUGAGAGUUCGAUCCUCAGCACCACAUACAAACAAAGAUGUUGUAUCCGCUGAAACCUAAAAAAUAAAUAUUAAAAAA